AAUUAUUUCAGUUACGAGAAGUAAUUGUCUGUGGUCAUGCUAAAAUUAAUUCUGUUUGCAAUAACUUAAUAGAAAAGUAGUGUACUUUCCAGGCCUUCACAGGCAGACCUUCUAAAAUGGAAAUUAAAAUGUGGAGGGAGCAUUCAUGUUCUUUGCAAAUGAGAGAAAAUCUGGCAAGGGAUCAUGGAGAAAAACAGAAAGCUUCGGUUUAGAAGUCUUUCCUAGGCAUCUUUUACCUCAAAGGGUAGGAAAGCUGUGCUUGGUCUUUGAAACAGCUGUGAAACCUUCCGCCAGGUUUACAGUGCUGCUGGCACAGAAAGAGCAGGACAAGCUACGGACACUGGGCAGUCUCCAUCACAAAGAAAACGUGUUUUUCAAAAAGCAUGCAGCAUCUUCCCACAUUGAAAGGCUUGUUUGAGAAAAAGACACUACAAAAAGGUAAUUAACAGUCAUUAUUUCUAGGGUCAGUCCAUCAG
This 476-nucleotide long non-coding RNA is filed under the name Serinus canaria (Common canary). RNAcentral describes it as "lncRNA (ENSSCAG00000010608.1)". Lineage: Eukaryota; Metazoa; Chordata; Aves; Passeriformes; Fringillidae. The record is from RNAcentral.